RNAcentral lists this ribosomal RNA (499 nucleotides) under Bacillus licheniformis. RNAcentral's name for it is "bacterial SSU rRNA". It matches the Rfam family "Bacterial small subunit ribosomal RNA", at positions 276 to 766 of the family's 1533-position model. The record is from RNAcentral. Lineage: Bacteria; Bacillati; Bacillota; Bacilli; Caryophanales; Bacillaceae.
ACGAUGCGUAGCCGACCUGAGAGGGUGAUCGGCCACACUGGGACUGAGACACGGCCCAGACUCCUACGGGAGGCAGCAGUAGGGAAUCUUCCGCAAUGGACGAAAGUCUGACGGAGCAACGCCGCGUGAGUGAUGAAGGUUUUCGGAUCGUAAAACUCUGUUGUUAGGGAAGAACAAGUACCGUUCGAAUAGGGCGGUACCUUGACGGUACCUAACCAGAAAGCCACGGCUAACUACGUGCCAGCAGCCGCGGUAAUACGUAGGUGGCAAGCGUUGUCCGGAAUUAUUGGGCGUAAAGCGCGCGCAGGCGGUUUCUUAAGUCUGAUGUGAAAGCCCCCGGCUCAACCGGGGAGGGUCAUUGGAAACUGGGGAACUUGAGUGCAGAAGAGGAGAGUGGAAUUCCACGUGUAGCGGUGAAAUGCGUAGAGAUGUGGAGGAACACCAGUGGCGAAGGCGACUCUCUGGUCUGUAACUGACGCUGAGGCGCGAAAGCGUGGGG